ACAAAAUCCAAGAUGUAAUGUGUUAGGAAAUUUAAAUUUACACAAUUUCCUUAUUUUUUUUCUUACCUUCAAUUUCAUUAAAUAUUUCAAAUCUGUUCAAAUUAGUUGCCAAGCCUAUCCAAGUUCGUCGAAUGUACUAAUUGAAUUGUUGUAGUUGCUAGCAAAUGUAGGUAUCCCUUAACCAUACUUCCCAAAAGAAAGUUGCUUAAAAUGUUAGCUGGUUCUUCAUUAUUAGACUCUCUAUUGAAAACAAGAUCAUGUUUUAUUAAAAUUAGUUCAAGUUGUGAUAUCUUGCCUUAUAGGUUGCCUAAGACAUUGGCUGGACAUAUAACUAUACUGCUGAUAGUGGAAGAGUAGUAAAAAGAAGGCAUGGAAAGAAAGAUGUGGAAAGCAUAUUAUUUUAUGUUUUGUUAAUUAUGUUUAAUUGCACAUUGUUUUUCAAGGAAUAAGACUUGCUAUUUCCCUUUUUAAGGUUUAAUAUUUGCCUCAGCUUUAAUGGAUCAAGCCAAACAUACAGGUGAAUUGGACCUUGUCACAAUCUUAUUGUGGAUGAGGUUUAUGGCUACAAGGCAGCUCAUAUGGAACAAAAACUAAAAUGUGAAACCACGGUACAAAUUGGAUUAAUUGACUUGAGAUUAUGAGUGGUCAGCUUUUCUAUACAAAAUUUUUGCUAUCAUGAAUGAUGAUCAUAUAAGUGCAAUCCUUAAGUAGCUUUCAUUUGCAACAGAUCAAAUUGUUGUACGCAUUGAUCGAUUAUAUUAAAAGUGACUUUGACAUUAGCAUCUCCUAGAAGUCUCUAAAUGAGAAUGGAAUAACAAAUGAGGGCCUCUUAAGUUAUGAUCGUGCUAUCCAUUAUGAACCCAAUUUUAGAAGAGACCAGAAGGAUGGUCUUUUGCGUGGUCUUGGACUUUAUAGGAGAACCUUAAAGGUUUGCAGCUUAAACCCUCAUAGUUGUAUUCAUUAUAAUGCUCUUGAUUUGUCAUCAUCACUUUUUUGCAUGAACUGGACAUUAUAAUAGACAUCAUUCACACAUUGGUUCUACGUUCCUUACCUAAUCUUUUAUCUUAUUAUCAUAGAGAUUCUUGUUUUGCUUUUGAGGCACGAGUUUAUGUUUCAUUUGCUAUCUCUUAUGCUAAAUUAAGUUUCUUGCGUUGUAUUGAUAAUUUGAGAUUUAUGCAUAAGUGGUUCAUUAUAGUGCAGAUCUUGAGUCUGCUAUUUCAAAUUGCAUGGGCUAUAGAGCAGAGGUAAUAUUAGAAAUAAGGUAAAAUUGCCAGGACAAAGUAUUAUUGUCAGCAUUUGACAAGAGCUUUCUCUGUGUUACAAGGUGACGGUUUCAUGGUUGGGGUGCAAAUAAAUUCUGUAGCUAGCUUGCCAUCAGGAUUUCUAGAAUUGCUUUGGUUUGUCCUUGAACAUGUUGAAGACAUAAACAUAGAAGCCUUGCUUAAGUGCUCUUCACUGGUUGGUAUCUCUAUCACUUGGCGUGGUGGAUGAUCUCUGUUCUAUUUAUUAAGUGCAUGAAUUCCUCAUUAGGCUUCCUAUACAUCUCGUAGAAAAACAUGUAUUUCGUCACUCUUGUUCUAGAAAACCUUGCACUUUCGUUAGAUGACGAGGAGGAUUUGGUCUAUUGUUUGAAGGUAAAGUACUUUCUGCCAUAUAGAGUUAUGAUUGCUCUUAUUUCUUAAGGGCAUCAAUAGAUUCUAAGUUCAUAAAUUUCUUGGGGCAAAUUCGAUUAAUGAUAACUUAGAUCAAAUGUUUUUUCAUGGAGGUAUUUGAUUCUUUGGCUUAAUGUAUU
Molecule: long non-coding RNA, 1792 nt
Organism: Durio zibethinus
Lineage: Eukaryota; Viridiplantae; Streptophyta; Magnoliopsida; Malvales; Malvaceae
Source: RefSeq, a predicted model, not a curated record